RNAcentral lists this transfer RNA (73 nucleotides) under Planctomycetota bacterium. Its description in RNAcentral is "Planctomycetes bacterium tRNA-Lys". It matches the Rfam family "tRNA". From Rfam's summary of the family: Transfer RNA (tRNA) molecules are approximately 80 nucleotides in length. Their secondary structure includes four short double-helical elements and three loops (D, anti-codon, and T loops). Lineage: Bacteria; Pseudomonadati; Planctomycetota. The record is from RNAcentral.
GCCUCGUUAGCUCAGUUGGUAGAGCAGCUGACUCUUAAUCAGCGGGUCGUAGGUUCAACUCCUACACGAGGCA